GAUUAAUGGGCAACCUUAUGGUC
RNAcentral lists this non-coding RNA (23 nucleotides) under Arabidopsis thaliana (thale cress). The record is from RNAcentral. Lineage: Eukaryota; Viridiplantae; Streptophyta; Magnoliopsida; Brassicales; Brassicaceae.